This 349-nucleotide unclassified non-coding RNA is filed under the name soil metagenome. Its description in RNAcentral is "partial contains 5.8S ribosomal RNA, internal transcribed spacer 2, and large subunit ribosomal RNA". The stretch from base 1 to 120 matches the Rfam family "5.8S ribosomal RNA", at positions 35 to 154 of the family's 154-position model. The record is from RNAcentral.
GAUGAAGAACGCAGCGAAAUGCGAUAACUAAUGUGAAUUGCAGAAUUCCGUGAAUCAUCGAGUCUUUGAACGCACAUUGCGCCCCCUGGUAUUCCGGGGGGCAUGCCUGUCCGAGCGUCAUUGCUGCCCAUCAAGCACGGCCUGUGUGUUGGGUCCUCGUCCCCCCCGGGGGACGUGCCCGAAAGGCAGCGGCGGCACCGCGUCCGGUCCUCGAGCGUAUGGGGCUUUGUCACCCGCUCUGCAGGCCCGGCCGGCGCUGGCCGACGCGAAAGCAACCAUUUUUUCUCCAGGUUGACCUCGGAUCAGGUAGGGAUACCCGCUGAACUUAAGCAUAUCAAUAAGCGGAGGA